UAUUGUUCGACAACGGAAUGGUUGGCUUUGUUCAGAACGUUAAAUGGAUCUGAGUACAAUUAUGGGAACAGUUUACCUCUAUAUAAUGGGCUACCAAGCCAGAAGAAAAAAACGGCGGAAGAGAAGCAACGUAACAACCCAAGCUAAGCCCUGAGAUACUAGGAGGGAUGUUUUGCAGAUAAGAGCAGUAUAUUCUGAGUGGAGAAAUCCAGGACACGCGAAGAAGACCCUUGAUAAACAGGUACAGCUCGGCCAGCUCAGCUUUUAAUACAAAAAUAAGCCAUUAUCAACUGCAAUAAAAAAAAUAGAUCUAUAAUGAUAAA
Drosophila elegans is the source of this 323-nucleotide long non-coding RNA. RefSeq lists it as uncharacterized. The record is from RefSeq and is a predicted model, not a curated record. The transcript has 2 exons. Lineage: Eukaryota; Metazoa; Arthropoda; Insecta; Diptera; Drosophilidae.